RNAcentral lists this ribosomal RNA (686 nucleotides) under uncultured Burkholderiales bacterium. Its description in RNAcentral is "bacterial SSU rRNA". It matches the Rfam family "Bacterial small subunit ribosomal RNA", at positions 66 to 738 of the family's 1533-position model. The record is from RNAcentral. Lineage: Bacteria; Pseudomonadati; Pseudomonadota; Betaproteobacteria; Burkholderiales.
ACGGCAGCGAGGAGAAGCUUGCUUCUCUGUCGGCGAGUGGCGAACGGGUGAGUAUAGCAUCGGAACGUGCCAAGUAGUGGGGGAUAACCAAACGAAAGUUUGGCUAAUACCGCGUAAGCUCCAAGGAGGAAAGUAGGGGACCUAAAUAAGGCCUUACGCUAUUUGAUCGGCCGAUGUCGGAUUAGCUAGUUGGUGGGGUAAUGGCUCACCAAGGCAAUGAUCCGUAGCGGGUCUGAGAGGACGAUCCGCCACACUGGGACUGAGACACGGCCCAGACUCCUACGGGAGGCAGCGGUGGGGAAUUUUGGACAAUGGGGGAAACCCUGAUCCAGCCAUGCCGCGUGUAUGAAGAAGGCCUUAGGGUUGUAAAGUACUUUUGUUAGGGAAGAAAAGCUAGUUUUUAAUAAAAAUUAGUGAUGACGGUACCUAAAGAAUAAGCACCGGCUAACUACGUGCCAGCAGCCGCGGUAAUACGUAGGGUGCAAGCGUUAAUCGGAAUUAUUGGGCGUAAAGCGAGUGCAGACGGUUACUUAAGCCAGAUGUGAAAUCCCCAAGCUUAACUUGGGACGUGCAUUUGGAACUGGGUGACUAGAGUGUGUCAGAGGGAGGUAGAAUUCCACAUGUAGCGGUGGAAUGCGUAGAGAUGUGGAGGAAUACCGAUGGCGAAGGCAGCCUCCUGGGAUAAC